Molecule: long non-coding RNA, 5056 nt
Organism: Photinus pyralis (common eastern firefly)
Lineage: Eukaryota; Metazoa; Arthropoda; Insecta; Coleoptera; Lampyridae
Exons: 3
Source: RefSeq, a predicted model, not a curated record
UCCUUUGCACGUCACUGACAGAAUAGAACACCAAUUUUUGGUAUAUUUAAUGAGAAAAAUAUUAGAGACUUGUGCCCAGAACAAGUUGAUCUAUGGACUUGUGGUAGGUAAACUUUUGUAGAACUGGAUAUGCUGCGAUCAACGAUGCCAAAGGUUUUUGUUUAAUAUUUGACAUUGACGUUCGAAUUUUUUGUUGGCAGUUCUCACCUUUCGUUAUUCAUUAUCGGUAGUCGCUUUCAACAGAAUUGUGGUGUGUCUGAAGUGCUUUUAGUCGAAAUGCAUAACCAUUUACAUAGUAAAGCUAAGGAAUGGGAGGCUAGUUUCAUCCAUUAUUUUGAAAUGGACUAUGAAGAUUGUGAUCCUUUAUUUCCAUUGGGAAGAUAGAGGAGUGUAUCCUUAUAUAAAAGCAACUUUGUUCAUAUUUUUAUUUUAGCGUUCGUAGACGUUACCAUAGUAUAAUCCUUCAUCACUAGAUACUCAACUCCUUUUGGAAAUACAUACCGAUUUUUUCAGCGUAGCAUUUACGUAUAUGCGUUGUGGUAAUGUCCCAACAACAACUUUUGGUAUCUGAAAAAACCGUAUAUUCGUUUAAAGGGUUCCCUCCUACUGCAUAAAUUUGUUGUUACUAUUUGCCUUAUAACGUGAACUGUUGUUUGGAGAAAACAAAAUGAAACGUGGGUAGAUUUGUUCGUCGUUGGACUCCUUAUCUGUCGCAUUCCUCCAAAUCCCACCCAGAUUUACGCAGGCUCACCAAUAAAGCUCUAACGAGCCUCCGUACGUACAGAGAAUUUUAUAGGGUAGAAAAAAUGCACAAUCUAAAUUAUAUAGAUACGGAAUUAUAAUCUUGUGUGUGUGAAUUUUUGUUUAUGCAUUGUAAGGAAAUCAAUUAUUUCAUUUAUGUAUAACCCGGUUUUUUAUUUAACCGUAAGACACGUUGAUACAGUCACCCGCAGACUGGUAUCUCGGAUACAUCUGUAACAUUGCGUCUUAUGGAGCCGUUCACACACGCAUACUUCUCGCAUACAGUACCGGCGACUAAAUUUCGGUUUCCCGCUAGGUCCAGUCGCCCGGAGAUUUUACGACUUUAGGGAACUGAUGGGCUAUUGGUUCAUAUGGAACUCUUUACAGGAGGGUACCUUUUCAUUAGCAACCGGUCAGUGCUGUUCGUCACCUCCGCCCGAAGAAACAAAAUAGUCAUAAAAUGGAGCGCACCUUUGAUGUAUUGUAUAGUAAAAUGGCUUCUGCAACGUCAAUUUUAUCAGGUGUGGUGUGACUUUACAGAAACCCGCCCGCCACUGCACUGAAAAUCGAAGUACCUCACUGCGUAAGGCUGGAAUUCUGAUGACAAAGAUACAGUAUUUCGCAUACAGUACCACCGUGUAAAAGAGCUCUAAGGAAGCUAAAAGAUGCAAAUAGAGUAAAUAAAUAAAUACUGCACUAUGUGUGCAUAUUUAGGGUGAGAUAAAUGAAUCAGAUCAUUGUAAUAAGGUAAGAACAAAGAGAUCCGAGUUAAAUACGUCUAUCGCAACCCAAAGUUAAAUGACAAAUAAUGAGACAGGAGGCUUUAAGCGGCGUUACAUGGGGCGAACCUGCGCCGCGUUGUCGCAAAGCGCGAGGUGCAAUUUUAAGUCAAUCAGUCCUCUGAAUGGAUCCCGAAGACUGAAAUUAAUCCAAUAGCGAAAAUCAUAUCGAUCGAGCCACCGUCAUGCUGCGGACGAAGGUUUUCGCAGCAUUUCGAAGAAAGAAAACAAGAAGCUUGAACAUAUCCACGGCGUACCAGGAUGCCAGAAGCGGCGUAGGUAGGUGCGGAUAGCGCCGAUCCUGACGAACGGAGUUAGGUCAGAGCCGGGACGUGAUGACAUGCGGUGGCGACGUCUUGAGCCAAAGCGACCAGCCUCAGUUGCUUAUGUAGGGAAGGUAGGCUUGCCCAGGCACAAGUGGUUUUUGCUGGCCCUUGGUGGUGCUUAUUAACAAUUCGUCGAGGCGUCCGGCGUUGCGGCGAAUGGGGCGUUUGCUGGUAGUGGGGUCCUUCCCUGGCGUUCCUAACAACGGCGGGAAGUCUAUAGUCGGUCCGUGCAUAGUACAGCUGGAUGCAAGAUAACUCUCCUUGUGAGUGAAAGCCGUGACCCGAACUCGUCUAGAACUGGUGGUGCACAAACGAUAAAGGUAUUUAGGAACAAUCGAUGCGAAGUAUGUUUUGCGAAUCAAUGUUUCUUAACUAUUUGCUGUACAGGAUUGUUACGCUUCAAACCCCAUUUACUAAUUAUGUUAUUCUAUUGCAGCAAGAACAUACCUUAAAGAAAAUAAGAACCGUUUCAUAAUUUAAUAAAGAUUAUUGACUUAUUAUUUAUCCCUUUACCUUUUUCCUUAAGAGGCCAGGAGAGAAUUACUAACUGAUAGCUAUCGGGCGCACAUUAUACAUAAUUCCAUAACAAGAACCACCCGUAAUUUAAUUAAGGUAUGCGAAGAUUAGCCAGAGGUAGGAUGGAGUAGAAGAGGUAUUUGUAACAUCCGUUACAAAAUGACACCCAAAAACGGGGCUUACGUAUUAGAGUGUUCUGGAGAAGCGAUGAAAAUAACGGGAAGGACACACAAACAGGAAUUGAUGCUUCACUUGACCUUCACUGUGGAAUACUGUUUGUUGAAAUCUAAGAACCUCGUGCGUUGCCGGAUGUUUCUACUAUCGUUCUGUAUUUUAGUUCAAAAAGGUAUUUGGGCAUUUGCUUUUAUGCUUUCAGAGAAAUGUAUGUAUCUGUGCCACUAAAUUACAUUCCCAACAGUUUCUUUUUGAAUCAAACAGCAUAGAUAAAAAAGGUUUUGUAUAAUAUAAAAAAUCUAUAAAAGUAUAAUCAGCAUUGUUACAGACUCGCUUCAGAAGCUUCUUGCGAUACGACCGAUGUCUGAGACUGAUUAGGGCAACUGCUUUUCCUUCUGCACACCCGCUUCCUCUUCCUUGAACAACUUCGUCUGCGCAUCCUUCUUUUUCUUCGUUUGCAAGUACGCCUCUUUAUUUUCCGUUUGCAUUUGCGUCGUCUCUUCUGUAACUUACAUCUGAGCUUCCUUCGCCCAGGUUUACACUUAGUUCGAAAGGGCUUAGCAGCCCUUCCGGCCUGUGCUGCUCUGCACUGGUACUUUCUUCUGCGAAAUUCACUCAUGUUGCACCACCGGCGAGCUCCUUCGAGCGUCAGCUUGCAUGAAAGCCACGUGGGGUAUUUCUUACGCAGCUCUUGUAAGAAAUUUAAAAAGGGAUUUUUCGAAAAGCGGGAGUUUUUUCGUCUUUUGCAGAUUACGUUUGUGCCCUUCUCUCUACGUCUACGUCUUCUACAUGCCAUAAUUUCGGAAUAAAAUUCUCUGAAAGGUCAAACUAAAAUUUUGAAGUUAACAAAACAAUCUUGUUUGAUACGUUAGUAACGCCCAGACGACUACGUAGUUUCACAAAUUUCCUAUGCAACUAACAAAGUUUGUCUAUGGUUACCACUUUAUUUUCCAAGGAGACGUAAAAACAAUUUUGUUUCAUAAGUUAGUAACGCCCAGACGAUUACGUAGUUUCACAAAUUUCCCAUGCAAGUUACAAAGUCUGUCCAUGGUUACCACUUUAUUUACCAAGGAUACGUAGCAUGUCCGGAGAAAUACAGACAUUUACACGUCGAUAUUUCAGAAAGAAGAGAAAUGUGCAAGAAUUCGAAAUCUGAAAUAAAAUGGACAACUUGGGGUUCACGAUUUCCAAGCAAGGUAUAGGCAUUUUCGGGUUUCAAAACACCCAUUUUUUUAAUACUAGUGCUUUUGAUUACUUAAAAGGAGCGCAGUUCUAGGGUGUACUCAAGCAAUAAAUGGCUUGAGUAAUAAACUAAUAAUUACAUAUUACAAGAGAGAAAAUUUUGAAGACAAAAAUGACAUGAAAGCCUGUUGCUUGGCAAAUUCGCAAAUGACAUUUGUAAAAUGAAUGCCAUGAGUGAAAUUGUCAAAGAACUAAACCCGACGAAAAUUGAUAAAACAAAUUUUUCUCGAAUAAUAUUCGAGACGAAAUCAAACAUCCAAACAGACAUGCUCAUUUAACAAAAUAAGGUAACUGUGAUUUGUGGCUACAGGUAAGAGCUUUGCUAUUAAAAGACUGCCGCUAGUAAUACCAUUUUGCCAGUAGUUCAAGGUCUGGCGAUAAACGUCACUUUUCUGACGAGAGGAAAGUUUUACACAAUAUUUGCGCAUUAUGGUUACUGCUAUUUACCACCCCCACGUUAGUAAGGGAGCAGAAGACGUAGUCGCCUUGAAAAUAUACACGAGACAGCAGGAGCAGAGACCGAAAACCUGAAUGCGAAAGGAGCAGAUCACGCAGCCGGAAUGACGUGACGUGCUGGUAUCAUUUCAAAUUCGGCAACAAGACCCGCACACGCACAUGUCAAGUACCAUACAAGAAGAUUCAGGGAAACGACCAGCCCUCCGUUAACAUCGGUUACGAAAUGGACACAUAACCACCGCCGACUCUACGUAACCAACCGCUCAUCAAAAGUAGUUUUUAAUAUAGGUACACCGGCGCUGAAGUCUGCACAUUCCCAAGGAGGUAAACAGCCUACAAAGAGCUCAACACUUCUACAGCACUUUGAAACGAGGUACCGAGGUGUACAAAAGGAUGUGCAUCAGCGUAAAAAUCUAAUCUGCUCCAACUUUUAUAUACUACCGCUGCAUCAUAGAGUAGAUCAACCGCCGCUCCUCUACAAAUGCUCAAGGUUUACCGCUGUCAACAGCGUAGAUCUAAACACUUUUACAACUCCGGAGAGGGAGAAGAAACAUCAAAGUAACGUGCUAAAGAACUUUCCCGCUGGAACAGCAAGUAUUACCUUUGUCAUGGACUCCAAAACCUGUUCAUAGAAAACAAAUCCCCUGGAAGCUGGUUUAGUGACCCAUGUUGCAGUGCCCUAAGGAGUCUCUGCCAGGUCCGCUUACCGGAUCCUCGAUGCUUCCCCCUUUGUUCAUUAUUCCGUCGUUUAUCGCUACCAAAAUGUUUCAAUCCUUGUUGAUGUUAGAGUCAAGUUGUUCAAUGUUACAAUUUUUGCUGUGU